UGACUCUGGUGUCUCCUCAUUUGCGAAUCAAUCUUUCGCCUUUUACUAAAGACUUCCGUGCGAAGGAACAAUACAAUGAGUCUUGCCUGAUUUUUUUCAGCUUUGUCUUCAGAAAGAGU
Molecule: small nuclear RNA, 119 nt
Filed under: Trichobilharzia regenti
Lineage: Eukaryota; Metazoa; Platyhelminthes; Trematoda; Strigeidida; Schistosomatidae
Description: U5 spliceosomal RNA
Rfam family: U5 spliceosomal RNA
About the family: U5 RNA is a component of both types of known spliceosome. The precise function of this molecule is unknown, though it is known that the 5' loop is required for splice site selection and p220 binding, and that both the 3' stem-loop and the Sm site are important for Sm protein binding and cap methylation.
Source: Rfam by way of RNAcentral